RNAcentral lists this ribosomal RNA (225 nucleotides) under Triticum aestivum (bread wheat). RNAcentral describes it as "partial small subunit ribosomal RNA". Lineage: Eukaryota; Viridiplantae; Streptophyta; Magnoliopsida; Poales; Poaceae. The record is from RNAcentral.
AUGGGUUCCUCAGAGAAGAUGGCACAACUGAAUACGGAGAUCCGUCUGUUGAAGACGCUGAGGCACAAGAACAUUGAGAAGUUGUUUGCCUCAUGUAUUGAUGAGGAUAAGAAGACAAUUAACAUCAUCACGGAGCUCUGCACAUCCGGCAGUUUGAGGCAUACAGACAAGAAUAGCUUCAAUGAUAGCAUCUCGAAUCAUCAAGUUGUGCGACUUCCCUCUUGA